UGAGGUAGAUUGAUCAGCGAGCUUGAUACCCCGUUCAAAAUCGUGAUCAGUAUACUUCGUC
Molecule: microRNA precursor, 61 nt
Filed under: Caenorhabditis elegans
Lineage: Eukaryota; Metazoa; Nematoda; Chromadorea; Rhabditida; Rhabditidae
Description: Cel-Let-7-P9_pre stem-loop
Source: RNAcentral